Zingiber officinale is the source of this 3700-nucleotide RNA transcript. RefSeq lists it as uncharacterized. The transcript is spliced from 6 exons. NCBI's taxonomy places the organism in Eukaryota, Viridiplantae, Streptophyta, Magnoliopsida, Zingiberales, Zingiberaceae. The record is from RefSeq and is a predicted model, not a curated record.
GCCGUCCACCAUCUCUCUCAGCCUCAUCUCCCUCUUCCCCUUCCUAGAUCGACGCACGAUGCCCUUGCUUCUUCAGCCAACCACACCGCAUCUCCUCCAUCUCCUCCUUUGGGUAAGAAGAGGCUGCCUGUGUGGAUUGGAGUCAUCGCCGAGUCGCUAGAAGUUGCCCUCCUCCAUUCUUACUCGAUCCCAUAUCUGGAUUCGGUGCUGCCUCCGGGUGUGUUAUCGACUAAUCGGUCGACAUGGUAAGGGGGAAGACGCAGAUGAGGAGGAUAGAGAAACUGGCCAGCCGGCAGGUAACCUUUUCCGAGCACCGGAGAGGCCUUCUGAAGAAGGCCUUUGAGCUCUCCGUGCUAGAUUAAAAAGGGGUGUUGUGUCCUGGGAACCUAAAGAUGCUCCCGCUAUGAGUUUAGGAAAUGCAUGAUAAAUAUACCCAAUUAUUUACCCGGUCUUCCAACUUCCAAUCCCGAAGCCAUGGCUUCCUCCUCCAAAGCCCUAGGCGAGCUCCUCCGCUCGCCGAAGCGUCUCCGCCCGAUCUCCCUCUCCCCGGAAUACAUGACCCUCAAAUCCCCCCUCUCCACCCUCCACGCCCCUCCUCUCGCCGCCGGUGAACACCCCUCCGCACUCACGUCGGAGCAGGCGAAGAGGGCGAAGAGGGUCGACGCCGGCCAAUCCCUUUCCCGAUGGAAGCGGAACCUCAGUAUCUGUUCCGAAAGGAUCGCGACAAGGAAAGGUACUCAUUCCGAUCCCUAUGUGAAGCUGGGAGAGCUCUUGGUCGAGGAGACAUGGCUGGAGACUCUCCCCGGCCAGCUUCAGAAACCCUACGCGCAGAACCUGUGCAGGUUUGUGGAGAUGGAGAUGCGCGGCAACGUCCCUAUCUACCCUCCGCCCCACCUAAGAGCUUAUGCUGCUUGUUCGGUUUGGCGGUGUUCAGGAUGAUUGCUUAUGCUGCUUGUUUAGAAGGGUCUGAUCCAGUUCGGCUCUUUGACAAGAGAGUGAACGCGAAAAGAGGUCAUCCUGCUGCAAUACAAUCACAUGAGCUUUGGCGGGGCUCCUGUUGAGGUAGAGACAGAAGAAGAGGCAGAAGAGUUGAUGCUACAAAACGAUAAGGAUUCUGCAAACGGUAAUCAGCUCAAUAGGUUUUAGAAUAUAUAAACAUUUUUGGUUGGCAUCUGUUUAAGCUAAUAAAACCAUUUGGUUGUUGCAUACUUGCAUUGAUGCUUGAAUUGUAGGCCGUGGUCAUCAUUUUCAUAGUUAUUUCAGUAGGUUGAUCAUUGUGAAAACACUAUGGCUUGUGAUCUACGCCUUCGGUAAGUUGAAGAUAAAAUGUAAAUGUGAGUUUGUUACCAGAGAUGAGAGAUUUUUUGUGUCUCCAACUCCACCUGAUGACUAUGACAUUCACAUGGUGCUGAUAUGUGGAUGAUAGAAAUUCUUCUCAAUAGUGGGUUACUGUAAGAAAAUUAUCAGUUAUUUUCAUUUGUUGACAUCAUGCUGCCAGGAAAUUGUUCAUGUUCCCUAGCCAAAACUUGAAUGUAAUUUAUAUACUCAAACUUCGGGACUACUGAUCUGCCUUGUGAAGCUUUUGGUUCUACCUUAUAUAUGGUACCAAGGUUAAUCUCUUCUAAUCAAUAUUGCUAGAAAAAAAUAGCCAUUUCUUCUCUUUCCUGAAAUGCACUAUUUUUUACUUUUAAGAAUAGAACUGACAUGGAAAAGUGUGUUUCUGCGUCUAUUAUAACAUGGGUUGAGAUAGAAGCAUACUGAAACUUCUGUAAGGGUGCAAGCAUGUGUAAUCACUACACACAGAGUUGGGAGAAAUAAUGAUUAUGUUGUUCCACAUCAUUUAUUGUCCAUCUUUUUGACUGUUUAUUGUGCAGUUAUGUAAGUUAAUGCCUGUUAAGGUCUUAGGUGAAAGUUAUCAAAGUUCAUGCUAUCUUUUCCAGCUCUUCAUUUGACUUCCUUUGAUGAAGUCAAGGCAGUCAUUAUUGGACAGGUAGACUCCUUGACCUGAAUCAUUUUGUUAUGCCUCAUUGUAUGUCCUGUUCUUUGAGUUUCUUGUUUCUUACGCAUGCUACAACUUUGACAUUUUGUGCCUCCUGAUUCCCAUUUAUUAACUAGAUGAAUAUCAAGUUUAUUCAUACUGUCAUAGUGUAUUGAUCUAGUAGCAGUGGCUUGUAGAAUGAUGUUGGUCAUUUUAUCUGAGGCCUCCAUUAUUUGGUUCCAUGUAGAAAAUCGAAAAGAACAUGAUUUAAAUUUUGGUUUCUAUGUCUUGCUUUGGUUUGAUGAGUUUGAUAGUUUAAUUAUAUUUGGUUCUUGUUUUUUUUUUUGAAAAUUUUUUUUAACCAAAAAUGCCAAAAUAUAAUUUGUAAUAUAUUUUCAAGUAAAUCCUCAAAGCCUUGUCCAACCAUAAUAAUCUUGUCAAAUUUUAUGAUGCAUGUGAGGAUGCACUUAACGUCUACGUAGUCAUGGAAUUAUGUGAAGGUGGAGAAUUAUUAGAAAGAAUUUUAUCCAGAGGUGGAAGGUACUCAGAGGAGGAUGCAAAAGCUAUAGUUAUUCAAAUACUGAGUGUAAUCGCCUUUUGUCAUCUUCAAGGUGUUGUGCAUCGUGAUUUAAAGCCAGAGAAUUUUCUUUUCACCACUAGAGAUGAAAAUGCUCAGAUGAAGUUGAUUGAUUUUGGCCUUUCCGAUUUUGUUAAACCAGGUGAGCAUUGUUUAGUGGCAUGGUCUAGUUGAUUGCUUUUUUGGUGAUGUUAAACAUGAAAAAUGUUAUCCUAUUUUGUUAUGGAUUCCUUUUGUUGUUUUCUCUGGUACCAUUUGUUGUGAGUUUCCUUUGCCACUGAAGUAUUUGAAUUUGGGAUCGUUUCCAAGGUUUUUCUGAAGUAAAAUUGCUGCUUAGGAUCUCAGCGUCCUAUCAUAAUCGAUGUUUCUGAGUUUUGUGACCUUGUGCCCUAUGAUUACAGUAAUUGGCUAGUUUGCAUCAAGAAAAUUCCCUGCUCUUGAUAAGAAAGAAGACCAUUAAAUAGCUUCCUGAUUGUGAAUACUUCAUUACUUGUAAAUUAACCAGAUAUACACUUUUCAGUUGAUCUGUUACAGUAAAAGCCAGUAAUAGAAACUACUUAACCAGAUAUACACUUUUAGACCCCCAUCUUCAUGCACAUGGCUAACUGUAACCCGCGAGGUCUUCUGACUUUGUGUUUUUCAGUUCAGGGUCUACUAGUUUACUUAUCUCUUCUAGGUUUUGAAGAUACUUUGUGGCCUGUAUAACAUAGAAGAACAAUGAGCCGUGGAUAUAUAGCAUGAAUCUACUAAUAUGAAUCACAAACUGUUGGAUCAAGAAGGAUAUAUCUUGAGACUAGCGAACCCAAAGGGCAAACAAUGUUAUGUCUUUUCCAACUAAUGAUUCUCCAAAGGGAAGAUAAUGUUGAAAGAAACUUGUGAUUUGCAGCGAGGCUAUGGUUUCCUCAGUUGGGAUGUGAUAAGGUAGCUAAAUAGAGGUAAUACAACCUUUAACUUACCCUGACUAUUGUAUGAACUGAUUAGAGGGAUCGUUGAGAAUUAAGCUUCUAAACUACAUGGAACAAAUGAUUAUCGGAAGUUUGUAGGAAAUAAGAACAAAUUUGGGUUUAUGCCCUCAGUAUCUGUUACAAGAAGCUGAUGCUGUUUUUGAGUAUCAAAUAUUUUCAAAUAUGCAUCUUACCCAAUUU